UGGGGAAUUUUGGACAAUGGGCGCAAGCCUGAUCCAGCAAUGCCGCGUGCAGGAUGAAGGCCUUCGGGUUGUAAACUGCUUUUGUACGGAACGAAAAGACUCCUUCUAAUAAAGGGGGUCCAUGACGGUACCGUAAGAAUAAGCACCGGCUAACUACGUGCCAGCAGCCGCGGUAAUACGUAGGGUGCGAGCGUUAAUCGGAAUUACUGGGCGUAAAACGUGCGCAGGCGGUUUUGUAAGACAGAGGUGAAAUCCCCGGGCUCAACCUGGGAAUUGCCUUUGUGACUGCAAGGCUUGAGUGCGGCAGAGGGGGAUGGAAUUCCGCGUGUAGCAGUGAAAUGCGUAGAUAUGCGGAGGAACACCGAUGGCGAAGGCAGCCUCCUGGGCCAGUACUGACGCUCAUGCACGAAAGCGUGGGGAGCAAACA
This 427-nucleotide ribosomal RNA is filed under the name uncultured bacterium. RNAcentral's name for it is "bacterial SSU rRNA". It matches the Rfam family "Bacterial small subunit ribosomal RNA", at positions 355 to 774 of the family's 1533-position model. The record is from RNAcentral.